UAGUGGCGAACGGGUGAGUAACACGUGGGCAAUCUGCCCUUCACUCUGGGACAAGCCCUGGAAACGGGGUCUAAUACCGGAUAACACUCUGUCCCGCAUGGGACGGGGUUAAAAGCUCCGGCGGUGAAGGAUGAGCCCGCGGCCUAUCAGCUUGUUGGUGGGGUGAUGGCCUACCAAGGCGACGACGGGUAGCCGGCCUGAGAGGGCGACCGGCCACACUGGGACUGAGACACGGCCCAGACUCCUACGGGAGGCAGCAGUGGGGAAUAUUGCACAAUGGGCGAAAGCCUGAUGCAGCGACGCCGCGUGAGGGAUGACGGCCUUCGGGUUGUAAACCUCUUUCAGCAGGGAAGAAGCGAGAGUGACGGUACCUGCAGAAGAAGCGCCGGCUAACUACGUGCCAGCAGCCGCGGUAAUACGUAGGGCGCAAGCGUUGUCCGGAAUUAUUGGGCGUAAAGAGCUCGUAGGCGGCUUGUUGCCGUCGGUUGUGAAAGCCCGGGGCUUAACCCCGGGUCUGCAGUCGAUACGGGCAGGCUAAAGUGUGGUAGGGGNAGAUCGGAAUUCCU
RNAcentral lists this ribosomal RNA (566 nucleotides) under Streptomyces sp. 331C08. Its description in RNAcentral is "bacterial SSU rRNA". It matches the Rfam family "Bacterial small subunit ribosomal RNA", at positions 93 to 671 of the family's 1533-position model. The record is from RNAcentral. Lineage: Bacteria; Bacillati; Actinomycetota; Actinomycetes; Kitasatosporales; Streptomycetaceae.